CACGUAGGGCGGCGAGUGUUGUCCGGAAUUAUUGGGCGUAAAGAGCUCGUAGGCGGCCUGUUGCGUCCGCUGUGAAAGCCCGGGGCUUAACCCCGGGUCGGCAGUGGAUACGGGCAGGCUAGAGGUAGGUAGGGGAGAAUGGAAUUCCCCGGUGUAGCGGUGAAAUGCGCAGAUAUCAGGAGGAACACCAAUGGCGAAGGCAGCUCGCUGGGACGGUACUGACGCUGAGACGCGAAAGCGUGGGGGAGCAAACAGG
Molecule: ribosomal RNA, 256 nt
Filed under: uncultured bacterium
Lineage: Bacteria
Description: partial 16S ribosomal RNA
Rfam family: Bacterial small subunit ribosomal RNA
Source: RNAcentral